UACGUAGGGUGCAAGCGUUGUCCGGAAUUAUUGGGCGUAAAGAGCUCGUAGGCGGUUCGUCGCGUCGGCUGUGAAAACCUGAGGCUCAACCUCAGGCCUGCAGUCGAUACGGGCGGACUUGAGUACUGCAGGGGAGACUGGAAUUCCUGGUGUAGCGGUGAAAUGCGCAGAUAUCAGGAGGAACACCGGUGGCGAAGGCGGGUCUCUGGGCAGUAACUGACGCUGGAGGAGCGAAAAGCGUGGGGAGCGAAACAGG
Molecule: ribosomal RNA, 256 nt
Filed under: uncultured bacterium
Lineage: Bacteria
Description: partial 16S ribosomal RNA
Rfam family: Bacterial small subunit ribosomal RNA
Source: RNAcentral